UAUAUAAGCAUUGCACCCAGGGUUUGGGUCACCAAACAUUGUACCUGGAGCUUUUCUGUACUAAUUAAAGACUGUU
Molecule: regulatory RNA element, 76 nt
Organism: Scleropages formosus (Asian bonytongue)
Lineage: Eukaryota; Metazoa; Chordata; Actinopteri; Osteoglossiformes; Osteoglossidae
Rfam family: U1A polyadenylation inhibition element (PIE)
About the family: This family represents the U1A polyadenylation inhibition element (PIE). PIE is a regulatory RNA which is responsible for the regulation of the length of the polyA tail of the U1A pre-mRNA.
Source: Rfam